RNAcentral lists this transfer RNA (66 nucleotides) under Heterotermes validus. RNAcentral's name for it is "tRNA-Ile". The record is from RNAcentral. Lineage: Eukaryota; Metazoa; Arthropoda; Insecta; Blattodea; Rhinotermitidae.
AAUGAUGAGCCUGAUUAAAGGACUAUCGUGAUAGGAUAAAACAUGUAGUGAAAACUACCUUCAUUA